AUGAGACAAAAGAUCCUCUUUCUAAAGAGAUUCGAUUCGGAACUCUUAUAUGUCCAAGGUCAAUAUGGAAAUUCUUUCAGAGGUUUUCCCUUACUUUGUCCGUGUCAACAAACAAUUCGAAAUACUUUCAGAGAAAGGCGAGUGCAAGGAGGGCUAAAAACAGUAUCACAAAGCUAG
This 177-nucleotide ribosomal RNA is filed under the name Triticum aestivum (bread wheat). RNAcentral's name for it is "partial small subunit ribosomal RNA". Lineage: Eukaryota; Viridiplantae; Streptophyta; Magnoliopsida; Poales; Poaceae. The record is from RNAcentral.